This 254-nucleotide ribosomal RNA is filed under the name uncultured bacterium. RNAcentral describes it as "partial 16S ribosomal RNA". It matches the Rfam family "Bacterial small subunit ribosomal RNA", at positions 524 to 776 of the family's 1533-position model. The record is from RNAcentral.
UACGUAGGGAGCAAGCGUUGUCCGGAAUCAUUGGGCGUAAAGCGCGCGUAGGUGGCUCCAUAAGUCCGUUGUGAAAGUCAAAGGCUCAACCUUUGAAAGCCGAUGGAUACUGUGGAGCUAGAGUACGGAAGAGGCGAGUGGAAUUCCUGGUGUAGCGGUGGAAUGCGCAGAUAUCAGGAGGAACACCAAUAGCGAAGGCAGCUCGCUGGGACGUUUACUGACACUGAGGCGCGAAAGCGUGGGGAGCGAACAGG